GAUCCUGGCUCAGGAUGAACGCUAGCGACAGGCUUAACACAUGCAAGUCGAGGGGGCAGCAUGAUUUGUAGCAAUACAGAUUGAUGGCGACCGGCGCACGAGUGAGUAACGCGUAUGCAACUUACCUAUCAGAGGGGGGAUAGCCCGGCGAAAGUCGGAUUAAUACCCCAUAAACAGGGGUCCCGCAUGGGAAUAUUUGUUAAAGAUUCAUCGCUGAUAGAUAGGCAUGCG
Molecule: ribosomal RNA, 231 nt
Filed under: uncultured bacterium
Lineage: Bacteria
Description: partial 16S ribosomal RNA
Rfam family: Bacterial small subunit ribosomal RNA
Source: RNAcentral